Molecule: ribosomal RNA, 305 nt
Filed under: uncultured bacterium
Lineage: Bacteria
Description: bacterial SSU rRNA
Rfam family: Bacterial small subunit ribosomal RNA
Source: RNAcentral
UUCUUCCUACGGGGGGCAGCAGUGGGGAAUAUUGCACAAUGGGGGGAACCCUGAUGCAGCGACGCCGCGUGGGUGAAGGAGUAUUUCGGUAUGUAAAGCCCUAUCAGCAGGGAAGAACAAUGACGGUACCUGACUAAGAAGCACCGGCUAAAUACGUGCCAGCAGCCGCGGUAAUACGUAUGGUGCAAGCGUUAUCCGGAUUUACUGGGUGUAAAGGGAGCGUAGACGGCAGUGCAAGUCCGGAGUGAAAGCCCGGGGCUCAACCCUGGGACUGCUCUGGAAACUGUAAAGCUGGAGUGCGGGAG